GUUAGGAAUAUUGGACAAUGGGCGAAAGCCUGAUCCAGCCAUGCCGCGUGAACGAUGAAGGCCUUCGGGUUGUAAAGUUCUUUAGCCGAUGAUUAUAAUGACUGUAGUCGGAAAAUAAGCCCCGGCUAACUUCGUGUCAGCAGCCGCGGUAAUACGAAGGGGGCGAGCGUUAUUCGGAAUCACUGGGCGUAAAGCGUGCGUAGGCGGUUUUGUAAGUUAGGAGUGAAAGCCCUGGGCUCAACCUUGGAAUUGCUCUUAAAACUGCAAGGCUCGAAUCUCGGAGAGGAUAGCGGAAUUUCCAGUGUAGCAGUGAAAUGCGUAGAUAUUGGAAGGAACACCAGUGGCGUAAGCGGCUAUCUGGACGAGUAUUGACGCUGAGGCACGAAAGCGUGGGGAUCAAACAGGAUUAGAUACCCUAGUAGUCC
RNAcentral lists this ribosomal RNA (425 nucleotides) under uncultured bacterium. RNAcentral's name for it is "partial 16S ribosomal RNA". It matches the Rfam family "Bacterial small subunit ribosomal RNA", at positions 354 to 796 of the family's 1533-position model. The record is from RNAcentral.